RNAcentral lists this ribosomal RNA (871 nucleotides) under Curtobacterium sp. RNAcentral's name for it is "bacterial SSU rRNA". It matches the Rfam family "Bacterial small subunit ribosomal RNA", at positions 438 to 1321 of the family's 1533-position model. The record is from RNAcentral. Lineage: Bacteria; Bacillati; Actinomycetota; Actinomycetes; Micrococcales; Microbacteriaceae.
AGUAGGGAAGAAGCGAAAGUGACGGUACCUGCAGAAAAAGCACCGGCUAACUACGUGCCAGCAGCCGCGGUAAUACGUAGGGUGCAAGCGUUGUCCGGAAUUAUUGGGCGUAAAGAGCUCGUAGGCGGUUUGUCGCGUCUGCUGUGAAAUCCCGAGGCUCAACCUCGGGCUUGCAGUGGGUACGGGCAGACUAGAGUGCGGUAGGGGAGAUUGGAAUUCCUGGUGUAGCGGUGGAAUGCGCAGAUAUCAGGAGGAACACCGAUGGCGAAGGCAGAUCUCUGGGCCGUAACUGACGCUGAGGAGCGAAAGCAUGGGGAGCGAACAGGAUUAGAUACCCUGGUAGUCCAUGCCGUAAACGUUGGGCGCUAGAUGUAGGGACCUUUCCACGGUUUCUGUGUCGUAGCUAACGCAUUAAGCGCCCCGCCUGGGGAGUACGGCCGCAAGGCUAAAACUCAAAGGAAUUGACGGGGGCCCGCACAAGCGGCGGAGCAUGCGGAUUAAUUCGAUGCAACGCGAAGAACCUUACCAAGGCUUGACAUACACCGGAAACGGCCAGAGAUGGUCGCCCCCUUGUGGUCGGUGUACAGGUGGUGCAUGGUUGUCGUCAGCUCGUGUCGUGAGAUGUUGGGUUAAGUCCCGCAACGAGCGCAACCCUCGUUCUAUGUUGCCAGCGCGUUAUGGCGGGGACUCAUAGGAGACUGCCGGGGUCAACUCGGAGGAAGGUGGGGAUGACGUCAAAUCAUCAUGCCCCUUAUGUCUUGGGCUUCACGCAUGCUACAAUGGCCGGUACAAAGGGCUGCGAUACCGUAAGGUGGAGCGAAUCCCAAAAAGCCGGUCUCAGUUCGGAUUGAGGUCUGCAACUCGACCUCAC